Molecule: long non-coding RNA, 361 nt
Filed under: Lupinus angustifolius (narrow-leaved blue lupine)
Lineage: Eukaryota; Viridiplantae; Streptophyta; Magnoliopsida; Fabales; Fabaceae
Description: long non-coding RNA (LANG_LNC001710)
Source: RNAcentral
GCAGGCGUAUGCUAGGACAUGGAUUAGGUUGCGGCGUUCUGCCUAUGAUAUCAUAGAGGAGAUGGAAUAUGAAGAUGACGAUUGUGUAGAGUUGGUCCGCAUAGAGGACUCUAUCGAGGUGAUAGAUCUCUCUUCGGACUCCAAGCUAGAGGAGGACCCGAGUGAGGGUUCUAGUGCCCUCGUUAGUAUUGGAGCUAGCCGUUAUGAGCUAUUUCCUUUUCCUUUUUGAUUUUUGGGGUUAGGGUAUCUGUAUAGGGUACUUUUGUAGUGCUGAAGAAUUCAACCUAUUUUGCAUAGCUUCAGUUGGGCGAUGAUUACAUUAUGCCUUAUAUUUUGUACAAACAUUUUACUUGACCAAGAA